Molecule: long non-coding RNA, 2143 nt
Filed under: Homo sapiens (human)
Lineage: Eukaryota; Metazoa; Chordata; Mammalia; Primates; Hominidae
Description: HSALNT0353419
Source: RNAcentral
GCUCCCGCUGCCAGCCGCCCUCCUACUGGUCUGUGGCCACCACCAACCGCAGCGAGGUUCCCGUACUGACGUGUCGAGGUGGUCGCAUCCCGGCGUAGAGGACUAGGAAUCGGGAGUCACUGGCCGUAUGCUGGAGGCUGGAGACGCGGGAGCGUGGCUUGCCUCGCUGCGGUUGUUGGCAGCGAUGGAGAUGGCGCGGCUGGAGAGGUAUUUUAUGAACCACUUCAGAAAGCUUUCAUCAAGCUCAGGUUUAAGCUGAUGACCUAAAAUUACAUGAAGUUCCUAAAAUUAUAUGAAGAAAAUCUAUCCUGUUAUGAGGCUGGCCAGAAGGAUAACCGGAGAAUCUCCAGCUAUGUCAUCAGCUUCCCAGAUAAGCCAUGGUCAGGGGCCCUUCCUCUAAGCUUCCUGGGACUCCAUGGAUAGGUGAGGCUUCUGGGCAGCAGUCGCUCAUCUUUCUGUCCCACUUCAGCUGCAGUGAGAAGAGAUAAAGGGAACACUGCAUAUUGAGCCUCAUUUAGUUUUGUCAUGCACUGUGCUUUUGAAAAAAGGCAAAUAAUUGUCAACAUGUAAAAACUGAGAAGGUUCAUACUAAAAAUAGAUUCUGAUUUUUCUAAAAAAAAAAACACUGAGUUUGGAUUCAUGCUGUCUUGGAUAAUAGACAUCAAUUUCUUUUUUUUUUUUUUUGAGACAGAGCCUCACUCUGUUGCCCGGGCUGGAGUACAAUGGCACAAUCUCGGCUCACUGCAACCUCUGACUCCUGGGUUCAAGUGAUUCUCCUGCCUCAGCCUCCUGAGUAGCUGGGAUUACAGGCAUGUGCCACUACGCCCAGCUAGUUUUUGUAUUUUUAAUAGACAGGGUUUCGCCAUGUUGGCCAGGCUGGUCUUGAACUGCUGACAUCAGGUGAUCCACCCGCCUCAGCCUCCCAAAGUUCUGGGAUUACAGGCGUGAGCCACUGCGUCCGGCCCAGACAUCAACUUCUAAAAAGUCAUCGGGUAAAUUGAUGGAGAUUGCAUACUUAGAUCUAAGAGUUUAAUUGCUGACACUACUUCAGCUAUAAGCAUUAGCAGAAAGUAAAAAAUGUAUGCUUUUGAAGGGGUUCAGAGUUUGGGGGUUCAGAGUAUGAUGCUCCAAAACAUGCCACUGUAGCAUUGGAUUUAUUCUGAGCUAAAGGCAGUUGAGAAAAAGCAGACACAGGAUGAGCCCUUUGCCCUCCCUCUCUAUGCCUGAAAAGUAAAAUACAAAUUCCCCUUGAAAAGAAGUCCCUCCCCAUUCCUGUGUCAAGAAGGGAAUAAUGACCUUAUCACUGGAGAUGAGAUGGCACCCAGAAAGAGCCUAGACAAACAAACCCCGCUAACUAGCACUUACUGUCCAUUAGCUUCCCUGUAGAUUUACCCCCUCGUGAUUGGCCAUCCCUAGAAACUCAAAGGUUUUUUUCCUUUGUCUUAUUACUUCUCUGCAAAUGUAUUGUUCUUUAUGAAGAUGCCACAUAAACCCACGAUGGAACCACUCCUUUGAGUUACUCAUCUCUGAGUGCUCCCAUGUGAAUACAUGGUGCAUAUGUUAACAAACUUCUCUUCGUUUUCCUCUUGCUAAUCUGUCUUUUAUCAGUCUAAUUUGCAGGACCCCAUUCAAUGAACCUAAGAUGAGCAGAGGAAAAAAAUAACAGUUUUCCCUUCCCUAUAGUUUCUUAUGAAAUAUUCUUUUGUUGAGCAACUGACUUGAAUAUUUUGAUACUUCCAGAUUAAAAGUAUUCCUUAUGUGCAAAGAAAUACAAAUGGUUAUUGUUAGAGGAGGUAUUAAAUGCAUUGAUUGAAUUAUAUUAUUUUAUAGGUCUUAUUCAUCACAUUAAAAGUUUUGAAAGAUCAAUAUGUGUUCUUGUUUAACUAAAAAGAGAAGACAGAUGUUAAUAACAAUUCACUUAUUAAACUAAUUCUGUUAUGUUGUUAAUUAAAUUUUUUUUUCUUCAAAAUAACCCCUAGGGACGCAUUAAAAAAGUCAUUAAGGGCCAGGCACAGUGGCUCAUGCCUGUAAUCCCAGCACUUUGGGAGGCCAAAGUGGGUGGAUCACCUAAGGUCAGGAGUUCAAGACCAGCCUGGCCAACAUGGAGAAACCCCAUCUCUACUAAAAAUAUAAAAAAUUAGCC